This 551-nucleotide ribosomal RNA is filed under the name uncultured archaeon. Its description in RNAcentral is "bacterial SSU rRNA". It matches the Rfam family "Archaeal small subunit ribosomal RNA", at positions 326 to 879 of the family's 1478-position model. The record is from RNAcentral.
CGGGGUGCAGCAGGCGCGAAAACUUCGCAAUAAGCGAAAGCUUGACGGGGCCAUCCCGAGUGCCAUCUGCUGAGGAUGGCUUUUACCUAGUGUAGAUAGCUAGGAGAAUAAGGAGAGGGCAAGUCUGGUGUCAGCCGCCGCGGUAAUACCAGCUCUUCGAGUGGUAGGGACGUUUAUUGGGCCUGAAGCAUCCGUAGCCGGCUGAGCAAGUCCUUCGUUAAAUCCAGCGAUUUAAUCGUUGGAUUGCGGGGGAUACUGUUCGGCUUGGGGGUGAGAGAGGCCAACGGUAUUUCCGGGGUAGGGGUGAAAUCCUAUAAUCCCGGGAGGACCACCAGUGGCGAAGGCUGUUGGCUAGAUCAUGCCCGACGGUGAGGGAUGAAAGCUUGGGGAGCGAACCGGAUUAGAUACCCGGGUAGUCCAAGCUGUAAACGAUGCAGGCUAGGUGUUAGGGCGGCCACGUGCCGCUCUAGUGCCGCAGGGAAGCUGUUAAGCCUGCCGCCUGGGGAGUACGGCUGCAAGGCUGAAACUUAAAGGAAUUGGCGGGGGAGCAC